GAUGAAGAACGCAGCGAAAUGCGAUAAGUAAUGUGAAUUGCAGAAUUCAGUGAAUCAUCGAAACUUUGAACGCACAUUGCGCCCGCCAGUAUUCUGGCGGGCAUGCCUGUUCGAGCGUCAUUACAACCCUCAGGCCCCCGGGCCUGGCGUUGGGGAUCGGCGGAAGCCCCCUGCGGGCACAACGCCGUCCCCCAAAUACAGUGGCGGUCCCGCCGCAGCUUCCAUUGCGUAGUAGCUAACACCUCGCAACUGGAGAGCGGCGCGGCCACGCCGUAAAACACCCAACUUCUGAAUGUUGACCUCGAAUCAGGUAGGAAUACCCGCUGAACUUAAGCAUAUCAAUAAGCGGAGGA
RNAcentral lists this unclassified non-coding RNA (353 nucleotides) under soil metagenome. Its description in RNAcentral is "partial contains 5.8S ribosomal RNA, internal transcribed spacer 2, and large subunit ribosomal RNA". The stretch from base 1 to 120 matches the Rfam family "5.8S ribosomal RNA", at positions 35 to 154 of the family's 154-position model. The record is from RNAcentral.